Molecule: ribosomal RNA, 213 nt
Filed under: Triticum aestivum (bread wheat)
Lineage: Eukaryota; Viridiplantae; Streptophyta; Magnoliopsida; Poales; Poaceae
Description: partial small subunit ribosomal RNA
Source: RNAcentral
AUGAGGACUCUAUGCUGGAACUGCUGCGGGAUUGGCGACCCCGUGACAGUCCGUGAGCUCUGCGAUCUCGUGGAGGCAUGUGCGCUGAUGGUGCUUUGUAUUGUUGAAACAUAAAUUGUGAAGUACCGGGUGGAAGGAUUAGCUAGUAGCUUAGGUUUUAAUAGUAGUUUUGGUGUUGCUAGUAGUGGGCAUAGUGGAGGCUUAUGCUUGUAU